CCUAGUUGAUCCUGCCAGUAGUCAUAUGCUUGUCUCAAAGAUUAAGCCAUGCAUGUUUAACUAUGAACUAAUUUAGACUGUGAAACUGCGGAUGGCUCAUUAAAUCAGUUAUAGUUUUUUUUAUGGUACCAUAAUACUUGGAUAACCAUAGUAAUUCUAGAGCUAAUACGUGCACCAAGUUCCGACUCUUUGGAAGGGAUGCAUUUUUUAGAUAAAAGGCCAGCACGAGCUUGCCCGCUUCUCCAGUGAAUCAUGAUAACUCGAAGAAUUACACAACCCUUGUGCUAGCGAUGCUUCAUUCAAAUUUCUUCCCUAUCAACUUUAGAUGGAAGGAUAGAGGCCUACCAUGGUGGUGAUGAGUGAAGGAGAAUUAGGGUUCGAUUCCAAAGAGGGAGCCUGAGAAACAACUACCACAUCCAAGGAAGGUAGUAGGCAUGCAAAUCACCCAAUCCUGACAUGGGGAGGUAGUGACAAUAAAUAAAAAUGUUGGGCUCAUCAAGUCUGGUAAUUGGAACGAGUACAAUCUAAAUCCCUUAACGAGAAUCCAUUGGAGGGCAAGUUUGGUGCCAGCAGCCGCGGUAAUUCCAGCUCCAAUAGCGUAUAUUUAAGUUGUUGCAGUUAAAAAGCUCGUAGUUUGAUAUUGGGUUGUAAAGGUCGGUCCGCCUACUCGACGUGCACCUACCCUUCUAUCCGUUUUGUCGGUGGUGUGCUCUUGGCCUUAAUUGGCUGGGUCACGGCUCUGGUAUUGUUACUUUGAAAAAUUAGAGUGCUCAAAGCAAGCUUAUUCUCUAAAUACAUUAGCAUGGAAUAACGUGAUAGGAGUCUAGUCCUAUUGUGUUGGCCUUUGGGACUGGAGUAAUGAUUAAUAGGGACUGUCGGGGGCAUUCGUAUUUCAUUGUCAGAGGUGAGAUUCUUGGAUUUAUGAAAGAAGGACCACUGCAAAAGCAUUUGCCAAGGAUGUUUUCAUUAAUCCAGAAUGAAAGUUGGGGGCUCGAAGAUGAUCAGAUACCAUCCUAGUCUCAACCAUAAAUGAUGCCGACCAGGGAUCAACGAAUGUUUCUCUAAGGACUCCGCCAGCAUCUUCUGAGAAAUCAGAGUGUUUGGGUUCCGGGGGGAGUAUCGUCGCAAGGCUAAAACUUAAAGGAAUUGACAGAAGGGCACCACUAGGAGUGGAGCCUAUGGCUUAAUUUGACUCAACACGGGGAAACUUACCAGGUCCAGACAUAGUAGGGAUUGACAGAUUGAGAGCUCUUUCUUGAUUCUAUGGGUGGUGGUGCAUGGUCGUUCUUAGUUGGUGGAGCGAUUUGUCUUGUUAAUUUUGAUAACAAAUGAGACCUCAGCCUACUAACUAGCUACAUGGAGGUUUCCCUUCGUGGCUAGGUCUAUGAUGCCAUUAGAUGUUCUGGGUUGCACUCACCCUACACUAAUGCAGCCAAUGAGCUUUUCUUCCUAGUUCGAGAGGAUCAGGAAAUCUUCUCAAAUUGCAUCAUGAUGGGGAUAGACCAUUGCAAUUAUUGGUCUUCAACAAGGAAUUCCAAGUAAGCGCAUGUCAUCAACUCGUGUUGACUACAUCCCUACCCUUUGUACACAUCGCCCAUUGCUCCUACCGAUUGAAUGAUCCGGUGAAGUGUUUGGAUUGCGUCGAUGAUGGUCAUUCACCGCCGUCAACGUCGUGAGAAGUUCAUUGAACCUUAUCAUUUAGAGGAAGGAGAAGUCGUAACAAGGUUACUGUAGGUGAACUUGUGGUAG
RNAcentral lists this ribosomal RNA (1749 nucleotides) under Pinus taeda (loblolly pine). RNAcentral's name for it is "SSU rRNA". It matches the Rfam family "Eukaryotic small subunit ribosomal RNA". Lineage: Eukaryota; Viridiplantae; Streptophyta; Pinopsida; Pinales; Pinaceae. The record is from RNAcentral.